AAUUUGUUUUUAAGUAUGCAUUAAAUUCUCCAUAGGAUGACAGACACUCAAUAGUGCUUUGUUCUUUUCCUGAGGGAGAUACACGA
RNAcentral lists this small nucleolar RNA (86 nucleotides) under Dasypus novemcinctus (nine-banded armadillo). Its description in RNAcentral is "Small nucleolar RNA SNORA25 (ENSDNOG00000047640.1)". The record is from RNAcentral. Lineage: Eukaryota; Metazoa; Chordata; Mammalia; Cingulata; Dasypodidae.